GAACAUAUGCCAGGGGCUGCCAUUCUAAAGGGCUGAGCCUUUGUGAGAAGGCAGUGAGGAUUUGGAUUUGGGAUGAUACUGACUGAGCCACAGGAGCCCAAACAUCUGCCAGAGCCAGCAACAGGAAAACUCAACAGCUGAAAUUUGUUGUUAUUCUUCCCAUCUUCCACUGUUUCUCUAACCAGAGAGUACUGUGGCCAGUGUAUAUCCACAAAUAAGGAUUGAGAAUAGAUGAGAAACCUGGAAAGCUUCAUUACAUUUCCAGGACACCAGAGUAAGAAUCGCCAUGCCAGGGCCUCUUCUAAGUAAUUGGGAUAUGUCAUUGAACAGCGACAUCUGUUAUGUCAACUUCCUUAAACUAUAUUCCUAUAUUAGAAAUAGAUGACACCAUUUUCCAGUCUGAAAUUACAAGUCAG
RNAcentral lists this long non-coding RNA (416 nucleotides) under Canis lupus familiaris (dog). Its description in RNAcentral is "lncRNA (ENSCAFG00000043345.2, ENSCAFG00845012407.1)". The record is from RNAcentral. Lineage: Eukaryota; Metazoa; Chordata; Mammalia; Carnivora; Canidae.